ACCCGCUGAGUUUAAGCAUAUCAAU
This 25-nucleotide ribosomal RNA is filed under the name Araucaria heterophylla. RNAcentral's name for it is "partial 26S ribosomal RNA". RNAcentral also lists the same sequence under 10 other names. The record is from RNAcentral. Lineage: Eukaryota; Viridiplantae; Streptophyta; Pinopsida; Araucariales; Araucariaceae.